This 431-nucleotide ribosomal RNA is filed under the name uncultured bacterium. Its description in RNAcentral is "bacterial SSU rRNA". It matches the Rfam family "Bacterial small subunit ribosomal RNA", at positions 33 to 507 of the family's 1533-position model. The record is from RNAcentral.
AACGACGCUGGCGGCAGGCUUAACACAUGCAAGUCGAGCGCCCCGCAAGGGGAGCGGCAGACGGGUGAGUAACACGUGGGAACCUACCCUUUUCUACGGAAUAACGCUAUGGAAACGUGUGCUAAUACCGUAUACGCCCUUCGGGGGAAAGAGUUUAUCGGAGAAGGAUGGGCCCGCGUUGGAUUAGCUAGUUGGUGGGUAAAGGCCUACCAAGGCGACGAUCCAUAGCUGGUCUGAGAGGAUGAUCAGCCACAUUGGGACUGAGACACGGCCCAAACUCCUACGGGAGGCAGCAGUGGGGAAUAUUGGACAAUGGGCGCAAGCCUGAUCCAGCCAUGCCGCGUGAGUGAUGAAGGCCUUAGGGUUGUAAAGCUCUUUCACCGGAGAAGAUAAUGACGGUAUCCGGAGAAGAAGCCCCGGCUAACUUCGUG